AUUGAACGCUGGCGGCAGGCCUAACACAUGCAAGUCGAGCGGAUGAAGGGAGCUUGCUCCUGGAUUCAGCGGCGGACGGGUGAGUAAUGCCUAGGAAUCUGCCUGGUAGUGGGGGAUAACGUCCGGAAACGGGCGCUAAUACCGCAUACGUCCUGAGGGUGAAAGUGGGGGAUCUUCGGACCUCACGCUAUCAGAUGAGCCUAGGGCGGAUUAGCUAGUUGGUGGGGUAAAGGCCUACCAAGGCGACGAUCCGUAACUGGUCUGAGAGGAUGAUCAGUCACACUGGAACUGAGACACGGUCCAGACUACUACGGGAGGCAGCAGUCGGGAAUAUUGGACAAUGGGCGAAAGCCUGAUACAGCCAUGCCGCGUGUGUGAAGAAGGUCUUCGGAUCGUAAAGCCCUUUAAGUUGGGAGGAAGGGCAGUAAGUUAAUACCUUGCUGUUUUGACGUUACCAACAGAAUAAGCACCGGCUAACUUCGUG
RNAcentral lists this ribosomal RNA (484 nucleotides) under uncultured bacterium. RNAcentral describes it as "partial 16S ribosomal RNA". It matches the Rfam family "Bacterial small subunit ribosomal RNA", at positions 30 to 507 of the family's 1533-position model. The record is from RNAcentral.